AUUGAACGCUGGCGGAAUGCUUUACACAUGCAAGUCGAACGGCAGCACGGACUUCGGUCUGGUGGCGAGUGGCGAACGGGUGAGUAAUGUAUCGGAACGUGCCCAGUCGUGGGGGAUAACGUAGUGAAAAUUACGCUAAUACCGCAUACGAUCUAUGGAUGAAAGCGGGGGAUCGCAAGACCUCGCGCGAUUGGAGCGGACGAUAUCAGAUUAGGUAGUUGGUGGGGUAAAGGCCCACCAAGCAAACGAUAUGUAGCUGAUCUGAGAGGACGACCAGCCACACUGGAACUGAGAAGAGGUCCAGACUCCUACGGGAGGCAGCAGUGAGGAAUUUUGGACAAUGGGCGAAAGCCUGAUCCAGCCAUUCCGCGUGCAGGAUGAAGUCCCUCGGGUUGUAAACUGCUUUUGUACAGAACGAAAAGGUUUCUACUAAUACUAGGAGCUCAUGACGGUACUGUAAGAAUAAGCACCGGCUAACUACGUGCCAGCAGCCGCGGUAA
Molecule: ribosomal RNA, 500 nt
Filed under: uncultured bacterium
Lineage: Bacteria
Description: partial 16S ribosomal RNA
Rfam family: Bacterial small subunit ribosomal RNA
Source: RNAcentral